This 514-nucleotide ribosomal RNA is filed under the name uncultured bacterium. Its description in RNAcentral is "bacterial SSU rRNA". It matches the Rfam family "Bacterial small subunit ribosomal RNA", at positions 336 to 863 of the family's 1533-position model. The record is from RNAcentral.
CUCCUACGGGAGGCAGCAGUUGGGAAUCUUGCACAAUGGGGGAAACCCUGAUGCAGCGACGCCGCGUGGACGAUGAAGGCCUUAGGGUUGUAAAGUCCUUUUUUCAGGAAAGACUUAGGACGGUACCUGAAGAAUAAGCUCCGGCUAACUACGUGCCAGCAGCCGCGGUAAGACGUAGGGAGCAAGCGUUGUCCGGAUUUACUGGGCGUAAAGAGCUCGUAGGCGGCUCGUUAAGUGUGAAGUGAAAUCUCCAGUGCUCAACACGGAAACUGCUUUACAUACUGGCGAGCUUGAGGAAAGCAGAGGUAACUGGAAUUCCUGGUGUAGCGGUGAAAUGCGUUGAUAUCAGGAGGAACACCCAUGGCGAAGGCAGGUUACUGGGCUUUAUCUGACGCUGAGGAGCGAAAGCGUGGGUAGCAAACAGGAUUAGAUACCCUGGUAGUCCACGCCCUAAACUAUGGAUACUAGUCGUGAGAGGUAUCGACCCCUCUCGUGACCGUAGCUAACGCGUUAA